Molecule: ribosomal RNA, 439 nt
Filed under: uncultured bacterium
Lineage: Bacteria
Description: partial 16S ribosomal RNA
Rfam family: Bacterial small subunit ribosomal RNA
Source: RNAcentral
CUACGGGUGGCUGCAGUGAGGAAUAUUGCACAAUGGGGGGAACCCUGAUGCAGCAACGCCGCGUGGAGGAUGACGCAUUUCGGUGUGUAAACUCCUUUUAUAUGUCAAGAAAAUGACGGUAGCAUAUGAAUACGCACCGGCUAACUCCGUGCUAGCAGCCGCGGUAAUACGGAGGGUGCAAGCGUUACUCGGAAUCACUGGGCGUAAAGGACGCGUAGGCGGGUUGGAAAGUCAGGUGUGAAAUCCUACAGCUUAACUGUAGAACUGCACUUGAAACUUCUAAUCUAGAGUAUGGGAGGGGGAGAUGGAAUUAGUGGUGUAGGGGUAAAAUCCGUAGAUAUCACUAGGAAUACCUAAAGCGAAGGCGAUCUCCUGGAACAUUACUGACGCUAAGGCGUGAAAGCGUGGGGAGCAAACAGGAUUAGAUACCCCGGUAGUC